Molecule: non-coding RNA, 29 nt
Filed under: Rattus norvegicus (Norway rat)
Lineage: Eukaryota; Metazoa; Chordata; Mammalia; Rodentia; Muridae
Source: RNAcentral
UACUUAAGGCCUAAAGCAGAGGCACUUGA